RNAcentral lists this ribosomal RNA (1785 nucleotides) under Catharanthus roseus (Madagascar periwinkle). RNAcentral describes it as "SSU rRNA". It matches the Rfam family "Eukaryotic small subunit ribosomal RNA". Lineage: Eukaryota; Viridiplantae; Streptophyta; Magnoliopsida; Gentianales; Apocynaceae. The record is from RNAcentral.
CUUGGUUGAUCCUGCCAGUAGUCAUAUGCUUGUCUCAAAGAUUAAGCUAUGCAUGUAUAAACAUGAACUAAUUCAGAUUGUGAAACUAUGAAUGGCUCAUUAAAUCAGUUAUAGUUUGUUUCAUGGUAUCUUCUACUCGGAUAACCGUAGUAAUUCUAGAGCUAAUACGUGCAACAAACCUCGACUUUUGGAAGGGAUGCAUUUAUUAGAUAAAAGGUCGAUGCAGGCUCUGCCUGUUGCUGCGAUGAUUCGUGAUAACUCGAUGGAUUGCACAGUACUCGUGCCGGUGACACAUCAUUCAAAUUCUACCCCAUCAACUUUCGAUGAUAGGAACAUGGCCUACUAUGGUGGUGACGGUGACGGAGAAUUAGGGUUCGAUUCCGGAGAGGCAGCCUGAGAAAUGGCUACCAUAUCCAAGGAAGGCAAUAGGCACGCAAAUUACCCAAUCCUAACACGGGGAGGUAGUGAUAAUAAAUAACAAUACCGAGCUCUUUGAGUCUGGUAAUUGGAAUGAAUACAAUCUAAAUCCCUUUCUAGGAUCCAUUAGAGGGCAAGUCUGGUACUAACAGUCGCGAUAAUUCCAGCUCUAAUAGAGUAUAUUUGAGUUGUUGCAAUUAAAAAACUCGUAGUUGAACUUUGGGAUAGGCUAGCCGGUCCACCAAUAGGUGUGCACCGAUAGUCUCAUCCUUUCUGCUGGUGAUGCUCCUGGCCUUAAUUGGCCGGGUCGUGCCUUCGGCGCGGUUACUUUGAAAAAAUUAGAGUGUUCAAAGCAAGCCUACUCUUUGGAUACAUUAGCAUGGAUAAUAAUAUAGGAUUUCGGUCCUAUUCUGUUGGCCUUCGGGAUCGGAGUAAUGAUUAACAGGGACAACUGGGGGCAUUCGUAUUUCACAGUAAUAGGUGAAAUUCUUGGAUUUAUGAAAGAUGAACAACUGGGAAAGCAUUUGCCAAGGAUAUUUUCAAUAAUCAAGAAUGAAAGUUGGGGGCUCAAAGAUACCGUCCUAGUCUCUACCGUAAACGAUGCCGACCAGGGAUCGGCGAAUAUUGCUUUAAGGACUCUACCGGCAUCUUAUGAGAAAUCAAAGUUUUUGGGUUCCGGGGAGAGUAUGGUCGCCAGACUGAAACUUAAAGGAAUUGACAGAAGGGCACCAUCAGGAGUGGAGCCUGCGGCUUAAUGUGACUCAAGACAGGAAAACUUACCAGGUCCAGACAUAAUAAGGAUUAAUAGACAGACAGCUCUUUGAUGAUUCUAUGGGUGGUGGUGCAUGGCCGUUUUUAGUUGGUGGAGCAAUUUAUCUAUUUAAUUCUGUUAACGAAAAAGCCCUCAGCCUGCUAACUAGCUAUACGGAGGAAUCCCUCCACAGCUAGCUUUUUAGAGGGACUACAGCCUUUUAGGCCUCAGAAGUUUGAGGCAAUAACAGAUAUGUGAUGCCCUUAGAUGAUCUAGGCCGCACAUGCGCUACACUGAUAUAUUCAACGAGUCCAUAGCCUUGACCGACAGGCCCAGGUAAUCUUCGAAAUUUCAUCAUGAAGGGGAUAGAUAAUUGCAAAUGUUGGUCUUCAAUGAGGAAUUCCUAGUAAGUGCAAGUCACUAGCUUGCGUUAAAUACGUCCCUGCCUUUUCUACAUACAUCCCGUCACUCCUACAGAUUUUAUGGUCUAGUGAAGUGUUCGGAUCGCGGUGACGUGAACGAUUCGCUAUCCGCAACAUCGUGAGAAGUCCACUGAACCUUAUCAUUUAAAGGAAGGAGAAGUCGUAACAAGGUUUCCAUAGGUGAACCUGCGAAAG